AUAUCAAUAAGCGGAGGAAAAGAAACCAACAGGGAUUGCCCUAGUAACGGCGAGUGAAGCGGCAACAGCUCAAAUUUGAAAUCUGGCCCCAGGCCCGAGUUGUAAUUUGCAGAGGAUGCUUUUGGCAAAGCGCAUACCGAGUCCCCUGGAACGGGGCGCCACAGAGGGUGAGAGCCCCGUAUGGUACGACGCCGAGCCUCUGUAAAGCUCCUUCGACGAGUCGAGUAGUUUGGGAAUGCUGCUCUAAAUGGGAGGUAAAUUUCUUCUAAAGCUAAAUACCGGCCAGAGACCGAUAGCGCACAAGUAGAGUGAUCGAAAGAUGAAAAGCACUUUGAAAAGAGGGUUAAAUAGCACGUGAAAUUGUUGAAAGGGAAGCGCUCGUGACCAGACUUGCGCCGGGCGGAUCAUCCAGCGUUCUCGCUGGUGCACUCCGCCCGGCUCAGGCCAGCAUCGGUUUUCGCCGGGGGACAAAAGCUUCGGGAACGUGGCUCCCUUCGGGGAGUGUUAUAGCCCGUCGUUUAAUACCCCGGCGGGGACCGAGGACCGCGCUUCGGCAAGGAUGCUGGCGUAAUGGUCAUCAGCGACCCGUCUUGAAACACGGACCGAGGAGUCAAGCAUUAGUGCGAGUGUUUGGGUGUAAAACCCGCACGCGUAAUGAAAGUGAACGUAGGUGAGAGCUUCGGCGCAUCAUCGACCGAUCCUGAUGUUUUCGGAUGGAUUUGAGUAGGAGCAUUAACGCUUGGACCCGAAAGAUGGUGAACUAUACUUGAAUAGGGUGAAGCCAGAGGAAACUCUGGUGGAGGCUCGCAGCGGUUCUGACGUGCAAAUCGAUCGUCAAAUCUGCAGUCAUAGGGCGAAAGACU
RNAcentral lists this ribosomal RNA (863 nucleotides) under Gaeumannomyces hyphopodioides. RNAcentral's name for it is "eukaryotic LSU rRNA". It matches the Rfam family "Eukaryotic large subunit ribosomal RNA", at positions 40 to 932 of the family's 3401-position model. The record is from RNAcentral. Lineage: Eukaryota; Fungi; Ascomycota; Sordariomycetes; Magnaporthales; Magnaporthaceae.